GGCCGGGCGCUCAGGAGCGCGCGGGGCGGCGGCGGCGCGGCGGAGCCAUCCGCGCUCGUGCCCGCGCGGGUGCGUUGCCGUCCUGGCCGCGCCCCUGUCCCGCCGCCUCCCGCUCCUCGCCUGGCGGAUGUAGGCUGUUGGCCUGAGGGGAGCUACGUAGCCGAGGUUUGCGCUGCCGCCGCCAGGCCUGGUCCGGUUCCAGCCUCUGCUCGGACGCUAGCCGGCCUGGCCAUGGCUGACCGCGGGUGCCCGCUGGAGGCGGCGCCGCUGCCUGCCGAGGUGCGGGAGAGCCUGGCUGAGCUGGAGCUGGAGCUGUCGGAAGGUGACAUCACUCAAAAAGGAUAUGAAAAGAAAAGGGCAAAGCUGCUUGCACGUUAUAUACCGCUUAUUCAAGGAAUAGACCCAUCUCUGCAAGCAGAGAAUAGAAUUCCUGGGCCCUCACAAACCACGGCCGCUGCACCCAAGCAGCAGAAGUCUCGGCCCACCGCCUCGAGGGAUGAGCGCUUCCGGUCAGAUGUCCACACUGAAGCCGUGCAAGCAGCUUUGGCCAAAUACAAAGAGAGGAAGAUGCCUAUGCCUUCGAAGAGACGUUCUGUCCUUGUGCAUUCGUCUGUGGAAACCUACACCCCUCCAGACACGUCGUCUGCCUCAGAAGAUGAGGGCUCUUUACGGCGACCCGGGCGACUCACCUCCACUCCGCUCCAGAGCCAUUCCAGCGUCGAGCCCUGGCUCGACCGGGUCAUUCAGGGCUCGUCCACCUCAUCCUCUGCAUCCUCCACCUCAUCUCACCCGGGAGGGAGACCCACCACUGCUCCCAGUGCUGCAGCCACGCCGGGGGCCGCCGCUACCACUGCACUCGCAGGCCUCGAGGCCCACACCCACAUAGCAGAUCUGCAUUCUGCCCCUCCUGAUGUCACCACGGGCCUCGUGGAGCAUUCGUACUUUGAGCGUCCACAGGUGGCUUCUGUGAGAAGUGUUCCUCGGGGGUGCAGCGGGAGCAUGCUGGAAACAGCAGAUGAUGUGUCCUGGCCUCAGUGCUCCUCUGUCCUUCCCGUGACAGGUGUCCCUGUGAACAGCAGAGUGUCCUCCAAAAUCCAGCAGCUUCUGAACACCCUGAAGAGGCCAAAGCGCCCUCCACUGAAGGAGUUCUUUGUGGAUGAUUUUGAGGAAUUGUUGGAAGUUCAGCAACCAGAUCCAAAUCAGCCGAAGCCUGAGGGAAGCGAGACGAGUGUGCUGAGAGGGGAGCCUCUCACUGCAGGUGUCCCCCGACCGCCGUCGCUGUUGGCCACCUUGCAGCGCUGGGGCACAACACAGCCCAAAUCCCCCUGUCUGACUGCCUUGGAUACAACUGGGAAAGCCAUCUACACUCUCACCUAUGGUAAACUUUGGAGUCGGAGUUUAAAACUAGCUUAUACUCUACUUAAUAAACUGACAAGUAAGAAUGAACCUCUACUUAAACCUGGAGACAGAGUGGCGCUCGUGUUUCCGAAUAGUGACCCUGUGAUGUUCAUGGUUGCAUUUUAUGGGUGUCUCCUGGCAGAGCUGGUUCCUGUCCCCAUAGAAGUGCCAUUAACAAGAAAGGAUGCAGGCAGCCAGCAGGUUGGGUUUCUGCUGGGCAGCUGUGGAGUCUUCUUGGCCCUAACCACAGACGCUUGUCAGAAAGGCCUCCCCAAGGCACAGACAGGAGAGGUGGCAGCUUUCAAAGGUUGGCCCCCGCUCUCCUGGCUAGUGAUUGAUGGGAAGCAUCUGGCCAAGCCCCCAAAGGACUGGCACCCUCUGGCCCAGGACACAGGGACUGGGACCGCCUACAUUGAGUAUAAAACCAGCAAAGAAGGCAGUACGGUGGGGGUCACAGUGUCCCACGCAUCCCUGCUGGCACAGUGCCGGGCUCUGACCCAGGCGUGCGGGUACUCAGAAGCUGAAACAUUAACAAAUGUGCUGGAUUUCAAAAGGGAUGCUGGUCUGUGGCAUGGAGUGUUAACAAGCGUCAUGAACAGGAUGCACGUGGUCAGCGUCCCCUACGCGCUGAUGAAGGCGAACCCGCUCUCCUGGAUCCAGAAAGUGUGCUUCUAUAAAGCUCGGGCCGCGCUGGUGAAGUCGCGAGACAUGCACUGGUCUCUCCUAGCUCAGCGGGGCCAGAGGGACGUCAGCCUCAGCUCACUGCGCAUGCUGAUUGUGGCCGAUGGCGCCAACCCGUGGUCGAUCUCCUCCUGUGACGCCUUCCUCAACGUCUUCCAGUCCAGAGGUCUGAGGCCAGAGGUCAUCUGUCCUUGUGCAAGUUCUCCUGAGGCGCUGACUGUCGCCAUCCGCAGGCCACCUGAUCUGGGAGGACCACCUCCAAGAAAAGCAGUCCUAUCGAUGAACGGUCUAAGUUAUGGUGUUAUCAGAGUGGAUACUGAAGAAAAGUUGUCAGUCCUUACUGUUCAGGACGUUGGUCAGGUGAUGCCUGGAGCUAAUGUAUGUGUUGUGAAGUUAGAAGGUACCCCUUAUCUUUGUAAAACUGAUGAAGUGGGAGAAAUAUGCGUCAGUUCCAGUGCAACUGGCACAGCGUACUAUGGAUUGCUUGGAAUCACGAAGAAUGUGUUUGAGGCUGUUCCGGUCACCACAGGAGGAGCACCCAUCUUUGACAGGCCAUUCACCAGGACGGGCCUGCUGGGCUUCAUCGGGCCUGACAACCUGGUCUUCAUCGUGGGCAAACUGGACGGGCUGAUGGUCACUGGAGUUCGCAGACACAAUGCAGAUGACGUUGUGGCCACCGCACUGGCCGUGGAGCCCAUGAAGUUUGUCUACAGAGGCAGGAUCGCUGUGUUCUCUGUGACCGUGCUGCACGACGACCGGAUUGUCCUGGUGGCUGAGCAGCGGCCGGAUGCCUCGGAGGAGGACAGCUUCCAGUGGAUGAGCCGUGUGCUGCAGGCCAUCGAUAGCAUCCACCAGGUGGGCGUGUACUGUCUGGCCCUGGUUCCUGCCAACACCUUGCCGAAGGCUCCUCUCGGAGGGAUUCACAUUUCUGAAACCAAACAGCGCUUUCUGGAAGGGACACUGCACCCGUGUAAUGUGCUGAUGUGCCCUCACACCUGUGUUACCAACCUCCCCAAACCUCGUCAGAAACAACCAGAGGUUGGACCAGCCUCAAUGAUCGUGGGGAACCUGGUUGCUGGGAAGAGAAUCGCUCAGGCUUCCGGGAGAGAGCUCGCCCACCUGGAGGACAGCGACCAGGCACGGAAGUUCCUGUUCCUGGCUGACGUGCUGCAGUGGCGUGCCCACACCACUCCUGACCACCCGCUGUUCUUGCUACUGAACGCCAAGGGCACCGUCACAAGCACUGCAACCUGUGUCCAGCUGCACAAAAGGGCUGAGAGAGUGGCCGCGGCUCUGAUGGAGAAGGGAAGACUGAGUGUUGGGGACCAUGUGGCUCUGGUCUACCCACCAGGGGUGGACCUCAUUGCCGCGUUCUAUGGCUGCUUGUACUGUGGCUGCGUGCCUGUCACCGUGCGGCCCCCGCACCCUCAGAACCUCGGCACCACACUGCCCACCGUCAAGAUGAUCGUGGAGGUCAGCAAGUCUGCAUGCGUCCUCACCACGCAGGCUGUCACACGGCUGCUCAGGUCCAAGGAGGCUGCUGCCGCCGUGGACAUCAGGACCUGGCCCACCAUCCUAGACACAGAUGACAUCCCGAAAAAGAAGGUAGCGAGCAUUUUCAGGCCCCCCUCCCCUGACGUCCUCGCAUACUUGGACUUCAGCGUGUCAACCACUGGGAUAUUAGCGGGAGUGAAGAUGUCACACGCGGCCACAAGCGCCUUAUGCCGCUCCAUAAAGCUGCAGUGUGAGCUGUACCCCUCGCGGCAGAUCGCCAUCUGCCUCGACCCCUACUGUGGCCUUGGUUUUGCCCUGUGGUGUCUGUGCAGUGUCUACUCGGGACACCAAUCAGUGCUGGUGCCCCCGCUGGAGCUGGAGAGCAACGUGUCCCUGUGGCUGUCGGCCGUCAGCCAGUACAAGGCCCGCGUCACCUUCUGCUCCUACUCUGUGAUGGAGAUGUGCACCAAGGGCCUGGGCGCACAGACGGGUGUCCUCAGGAUGAAGGGGGUGAACCUGUCAUGUGUGCGCACGUGCAUGGUGGUCGCCGAGGAGCGGCCCAGGAUUGCGCUGACCCAGUCCUUCUCCAAGCUCUUCAAGGACCUGGGCCUGCCGGCCCGCGCUGUAAGCACCACGUUCGGGUGCAGGGUCAACGUGGCCAUCUGCCUCCAGGGCACAGCUGGCCCGGACCCCACAACCGUCUACGUGGACAUGCGGGCACUGCGCCAUGACAGGGUUCGUUUGGUAGAACGGGGUUCUCCGCACAGCCUGCCAUUGAUGGAGUCUGGAAAGGUAGUGGAAACCAAGACGCGUGCAUUCUGAGUCGCGUCUGAGACCUUUGUCUGAAGCAUCACCCUGUGGAGGGUGCUGGGGGCUGCGGCUCUGAUGAACACAGGUCGACUUCUGGUUGGGGUGGGCUCGGCUGCUGCAGAAGUCUCCUUCCCUCCUUUGCGGCUGGUAUAUAGAAUUACUUAGUUAUGUUUUUAAACACACAUCUGAGCUCAAAGCCAAGAAAGGGAGAAGUUCGGGUGCAGGAAUAAAGAACUCCCGCUGGGUGGGUGGCAGGCCUCAGGCCUCUGGGGCCAGGGCCAUGGAGGGGGGGUUCCGGCCCACCCACACAUUUAGAGUUAAAUGGAGUGGCCCUGGCCCUAAGUUGGAGAUGGCAAAAUCUCAUGCCCUAGUUUAGGGUGUCAGCAGGGAAGAGGCCCCCAGAGCCUGUGGGGGAUCUGGGGGAUCCUGAGAUGGCCCGAGGACUCCCAGGAAAAAACUGAGAUGCUGCAAGAGGUCAGCAGACAUAGGCACAGAACAGCAUCCUCUGAACCAGGAAGGGUUCAAAGGAAGGAGGGAAAGCCACACAGCCCAGGAAGGCAGCUUGAAGAGUAAGCCAGGCUUGAUAUGAGUCGGGGACCCUGGUGCCUUCACAACCGCAGAGGCAAGAGAAGGAGCUUGAUAUGAGUGGGCAGCUACUGCGCAUCCAGCGAGGGCUGUGGGGGCCCUGGUGCCUUCACAACCCCAGAGGCAAGAGAAGGAGCUUGGCCACCCUGACUCCGUUCACUGCCAUGGCCACAGCCACCUGUGGAGAGUCAGAGAGGGGUCCAGAGAGGGACCCAGCCAAGCCAUGUGAUGUCCAGGACACAGACUCCUGCAGGGCAGCAGGGGUGAGACUGCGGACAGAAGGCACAGCUGCUCUGAGGGUCUCGAGUCACUUCAGGCGGUAGACCAGCCGAGAGUGGAGUCGGGUGAGCUUAGUGGACAGCACAUCUGUGGGAGCCGUGGGCUGCUGCACGUCCUCCCUUCUCUGAGCACAGGGACAUUGAGCCGCCAUCGCACACAGCUCUGCAUCAUCCUUGGUGUAAACUCAGCAGGUUUCCCUGGGUCAUGGGGCCUCCACGUCGCUCUUUUCCCUGCCCUGCCAUGUACAGCCGCACUGUAAUUGUUUAGCUCACCCCCUUUUGUUGGACGUUCUUUCCUAUUUUGCUGUUACAAUCACUUGGGCCUGAUAGGUUUGUGUCCUGGAAAGAGCUCUAGUUUUGGGGCUCAGCUGGGACAUGCAGGGAGAAGAUGGAGGCUCCAACACCAUCUGGGGAAACAGAACAGUCCCACUCUGCCGGGGAGGGUCUGGUGGUAACCAUAGCUCACACCUCCCUGUGGCCCCUCGUCCCCUCCUCUUGCCUGCCCUGAGCCUGCAGUGUCAUUGCCCCCAUUUCAUAUGUGAGGAAACUGAGGACACAGAACAAGCAUCCAGGCCUUGUGCAGUCAGGUGGUCUGACCUGAGCCCAGUGAGGGAACACUGGGACCGGGCCUGGGAAGCCAGGUAAGAGAUGGUGGCCUCUUGCCGUCCUGAAUUGGCACAGAGCCAGUGCUCAGUGGUUGGACUGACUCGGAGUCACGGGCAGGAAGAACUUCCUCAUGGUCAGGUUCCUGGCCAAGAACUAGGACAGACAUGUGCCUCCUGCAGGGCUGGGCACAGCAGGGUCACUGCACCCCUGGAUGGAUGCCCAUCAGUCAAAUUUGGAGCGGCCUCUAAACUUCCUGACCUGACAUAAGCACAUCAGUCCUGCUGGCCAACUUCUGAGGGACGUUAUUUUAAUGUCACUGAAUCAAGAGAGUCUCGUGUCAUGUUUUCUUUAACAAGGGACAUAGCUCUCCUCCUUCCAGAUCCUCCCCGGCGUGAAGGUCAUCAUCGCACACACCGAGACCAAAGGACCCUUGGGAGACUCACACCUGGGAGAGAUCUGGGUAAGCAGCCCCCACAAUGCCACCGGGUACUACACCGUUUACGGGGAGGAGGCGCUUCAUGCCGACCACUUCAGUGCCCGGCUGAGUUUUGGAGACACACAGACCAUCUGGGCAAGGACCGGCUACCUUGGCUUCCUUCGGCGAACAGAGCUCACUGAUGCCAGUGGAGGGCGGCACGAUGCACUGUAUGUGGUUGGGUCUCUGGAUGAAACUCUGGAGCUCAGAGGCAUGCGGUACCACCCCAUCGACAUUGAGACCUCUGUCAUCCGAGCACACAGGAGCAUCGCUGAGUGUGCCGUAUUCACCUGGACCAACCUGCUGGUGGUGGUGGUGGAGCUGGAUGGGCUAGAGCAGGAUGCCCUGGACCUGGUGGCCCUGGUGACCAACGUGGUGCUGGAGGAGCACUACCUGGUCGUGGGAGUGGUGGUCAUCGUGGACCCAGGGGUGAUCCCUAUCAACUCUCGGGGUGAGAAGCAGCGCAUGCACCUGCGGGACGGCUUCCUGGCUGACCAGCUGGACCCCAUCUAUGUGGCCUACAACAUGUGAGCGCAGCACACCGGCCCAGGUGCCGGAGAUGAAUGAGCCCCAGCAGUCCAAGGUGUGAUGUGGGAAGACACCGCAGAGCUCACUCACCGGGACUCGCCCUUCCUGUGCUCUUACAGAUCCCUCUCAACAAUCCCCACAUCUCCUUUUAGAAAGCACUUCCUGAAUUAUUUAAAGAAAUAUUUUGAAUCUGCCAAGUACAUUCACAAAAACACGGAUGCUGGUAUUUUAACAGAUGGAGAGACAAGGAAAGGAAAGGAAAGGCCUGGCAUGGGCAUUGUGAGGAAUCACAGGCACCGAGGUUGUUCUCUGCUGUACUGCAAGUUUGCACUUUCUUUAGGCUAAAAAUAUAGUUCCUGAUUUUUAAAAUUCAGUUAUUUAUUCCCACUUCAAAUGACAAGUUCAUAUAUAGGAUUUACGGGAGAAACUUGAGACCAUUUACGGGGAGAAACUUGAUUCUGGGAAGAUAGCAGAGUACAAACCAGCUGCCUCACUUCUGUUUCACAGGGAGGCUGAUGGAAAAAGGAAGCAAGCUGGACCCAUCCUCCCUGCUCACAGAGGGCACUGUGGUCACACACAGUGCCUCCUCUGCCAGUUCCUUUAUUGAAAGAGGUGUGCUGGCUGGCCACGGUGGCUCACACCUGUAAUCCCAGCACUUUGGGAGGCCGAGGCGAGCAGAUCACGAGGUCAGGAGAUCGAGACCAUCCUGGCUAACAUGGUGAAACCUUGUCUCUACUAAAAAUACAAAAAAUUAGCCGAGUGGUGGUGGGCGCUUGUAGUCCCAGCUACUUGGGAGGCUGAGGCAGGAGAAUGGUAUGAACCAGGGAGGCGGAGCUUGCAGUGAGCCGAGAUCACGCUACUGCACUCCAGCCUGGGUGACAGCGCGAGAUGCCGUCUUAAAAAAACAAAAAAGAGGUGUGCUGCUUGUCAGCAUAUAUUGUCACGGACACUCAAUAAGUGCCAUUUUGGACUGUCAAAUUUAGAUGCUUUGUUUCAGAAAGAUAAGCCAGCAUUUAGUUUUAAAUCACUUUCCUGGUUUGUAACUUGAUGCUGUUUAGUUAAAUUGCUAGUUUUCCUAACACUACAAUAUUAAUUCUUCUCGUGGAAGUGUACUGAUUUAUUAUUUUUAUUCCAAGUCAGCAGAUUUGGAAGCAUUGUGGUAAAGUCUAAGGUUUUCAUAUCCAUAGUGCUGUUUGGUGAGUACCGGCAGUACAGUUGAGGGGAGCAGGGAACAGCAUUGCCCCAUAUUGAAGGUGGAGAUGGUUACAUUCUUCACUGCUUUUCGCAUUUUGAGUUGUGUGCCUAUAAAAUUUGGCCAAACCAUUUUAUUAUUUUGUUCAAACUUGACUAAGCUGAGUGAUCUAAAAUUAUACAGAACCUAAAUCAAAGAAGAGAAUGUAAAGUCCUUUAGUUACUUCUAAGAAUUUGAAGUCAAGCACGAAUCUAAGACAUAGAUUAUUUUUAUAUAGCUAAUGAAGACUAUGUUAUGAAAUUGUUGGGUUUUUGGAGUAUUGAGGGUGGCAAAUUUUGUGAAUCAUGCAUGCUUCACAGAAACAACCAGGUUUUUCCAGAAUUAGUCUGGAUCAGUGCCUAACAAAGCUGUUAUUAAUUCUCCACACAUGAGCCUGGCUAACUGGGCCAGCUCUCAUGUUUUACUCCUGUCUGGCUACAAAUAGCACUGUGCAUAGUAGCCCUGUUUCCCCAUGGUGUUGGACUGUGGUAAAGUAUGUUGUGACAUACUGGAAUUCUAAUAAUCCUGUUGUAAUUAUGUACAGAAUCUAUGUAACUUAUUGUUGACAUACAGAGGUUUGGGAAGUAGUCUAAUGGACAUUCCUUACAAUAGAAUGGCUGGGAAGGGAAAGAAAAAAAAAAACUACCUAACUCCAAUCUUAAUGUUGUAGUUUUAUAGGAAACAAAAAUUGUCAACUUUUUGUAUUGAAAGGUCAGUGGUGGUAAGACAAGGUGUCUUGUAAAUUAAGAUUUUAAGAAGUGCAUUAAAAUGUUUUAGAAUUACUCUGGGAAUUCUGUAUAUCACACUAAAAUUUUUAUAUCAUUAUGUUAAUAAAAGUUAUUGACUUUGUAA
Molecule: RNA transcript, 8938 nt
Organism: Pan troglodytes (chimpanzee)
Lineage: Eukaryota; Metazoa; Chordata; Mammalia; Primates; Hominidae
Gene: DIP2A
Gene name: disco interacting protein 2 homolog A
Exons: 39
Source: RefSeq, a predicted model, not a curated record